GGCAUCAUAGCUCAGUUGGUAGAGCGUCGGACUGAAAAUCCGUGCGUCCCUGGUUCAAGUCCGGGUGAUGCCA
This 73-nucleotide transfer RNA is filed under the name Bacteroidales bacterium. RNAcentral's name for it is "tRNA-Phe". It matches the Rfam family "tRNA". From Rfam's summary of the family: Transfer RNA (tRNA) molecules are approximately 80 nucleotides in length. Their secondary structure includes four short double-helical elements and three loops (D, anti-codon, and T loops). Lineage: Bacteria; Pseudomonadati; Bacteroidota; Bacteroidia; Bacteroidales. The record is from RNAcentral.